Long non-coding RNA from Sorghum bicolor (sorghum), 1231 nucleotides. RefSeq lists it as uncharacterized. The record is from RefSeq and is a predicted model, not a curated record. NCBI's taxonomy places the organism in Eukaryota, Viridiplantae, Streptophyta, Magnoliopsida, Poales, Poaceae. The transcript is spliced from 6 exons.
CGCCCCCCCCUCCCGUGGUUUCGCCUCCGCCCCCCGCACCCCUCGGUCGCCCCCAAGCAAGCAGUUCCACCGGCACCCGCGGCCCGCCUCGCCUCGCUCCCUUCCUUCGUGCGCGGCAGCAGUUGCAUCGCGUGCCUCCCCAACCCAAAUCGCCGGUCCCUGCCACGAUCUGCUACCGCAUCAGCGCCCCACCGCAAAACCCGUGCUCCCGCCCCAUCGCGACUCCACCGCCAACGUCGUGACUCCGCCAGGCCACCGCAAGGUGGUGCUGCUGCCGGUGCCCGCCGCUCCUCCCCGUCCUGCACUGCUGGGCGAUCUAGGCGCGGUGGCGCACCCAGCGGCGUAGUCGACGCGGAGGUCGACGUCUCCGAGCGGGCGCAUCGAGACGACCGUAGUCGUAGGGCUCGUAGUUGCCUCAUCGUCAUGUCUAUGGUCCCCAACCCCCAGGUAACCUUGUAUAUGUCUCAACGUCUUUAGGAGAUGCUCACAAAUUAUCUGAAUCCACCAUCCACAAUCACAUCCAUUGGUCGGGUCUAGGCGCAUACCAUUCAUUGAAAUCAGAACCAGAAACUCAAGCAUGGUCUAUCCACGGUGGAACAGAGAGGCAUAUAGUGAAGGUGAAUAACAACUGACUUGCUUGAUACCAGAGAUUGUAGUAUAACACCUUGGCUAAAGUUAUGUGCUUCUCUGGUGGGACGAUGUUAUAGUUAGUCUCUACAAAAAGAAGCAACAAUGGUAGCAACUACCUAAUUGGUAGCUACAGAAGCUCUAUUCUCUUGAGCUUCCAUCCAAUCACGUCUGCAGCCAUGCAGAAAGAAGCUCGAGGGUAAGCAAGGCAUCGUGGUGGACCAAGUUGUGCAGCCAUCACCAUUCUUUGCUCACGAAACCAGAUUCUUAUACCACUUCAAACGGUUACAACAUGCGGUAUUUAUAAUCUUUUUGUUCUAGACAUGUCUAGAAGAGCUCUCUACAUAGUAGACCAAACUCCUAAACCUGAUCUCUACAAGAUUCAACCACUAAAAAAAUAUACAAACAAAAUUCAAAGGGUUUCCACUGUCCUAAAUGAAGUCAUGAAGGUUUCAUGCCUUUGGUGGCGAGUUGAUUUAAUCCUCUUUGACCAUAGAGUUGCAGAAGUCAACCAAUUUGAGUUAAAUGGAUAACUACUUUUACAAUAGAAACUAUUCGUUCUUAUAUUCUACUAUAUAUAUAUAAUAGUAAUAAUUUAAUGCUU